GAAGGGAGCUUGCUCCCGGAUGUUAGCGGCGGACGGGUGAGUAACACGUGGGUAACCUGCCUGUAAGACUGGGAUAACUCCGGGAAACCGGAGCUAAUACCGGAUAGUUCCUUGAACCGCAUGGUUCAAGGAUGAAAGACGGUUUCGGCUGUCACUUACAGAUGGACCCGCGGCGCAUUAGCUAGUUGGUGGGGUAAUGGCUCACCAAGGCGACGAUGCGUAGCCGACCUGAGAGGGUGAUCGGCCACACUGGGACUGAGACACGGCCCAGACUCCUACGGGAGGCAGCAGUAGGGAAUCUUCCGCAAUGGACGAAAGUCUGACGGAGCAACGCCGCGUGAGUGAUGAAGGUUUUCGGAUCGUAAAGCUCUGUUGUUAGGGAAGAACAAGUGCGAGAGUAACUGCUCGCACCUUGACGGUACCUAACCAGAAAGCCACGGCUAACUACGUGCCAGCAGCCGCGGUAAUACGUAGGUGGCAAGCGUUGUCCGGAAUUAUUGGGCGUAAAGGGCUCGCAGGCGGUUUCUUAAGUCUGAUGUGAAAGCCCCCGGCUCAACCGGGGAGGGUCAUUGGAAACUGGGAAACUUGAGUGCAGAAGAGGAGAGUGGAAUUCCACGUGUAGCGGUGAAAU
This 631-nucleotide ribosomal RNA is filed under the name Bacillus sp. 13563. Its description in RNAcentral is "bacterial SSU rRNA". It matches the Rfam family "Bacterial small subunit ribosomal RNA", at positions 71 to 687 of the family's 1533-position model. Lineage: Bacteria; Bacillati; Bacillota; Bacilli; Caryophanales; Bacillaceae. The record is from RNAcentral.